GACGAACGCUGGCGGCGUGCUUAACACAUGCAAGUCGAACGGAGCGAAUGAAAGCUUGCUUUUAUAAGCUUAGUGGCAAACGGGUGAGUAACACGUAGACAACCUGCCGACAGGAUGGGGACAACAUUCCGAAAGGAAUGCUAAUACCGAAUGAAGCGGAGGAGAGGCAUCUCUCCUCCGUGAAAGAUGGCCUCUAUAUAUAAGCUAUCACCUGUCGAUGGGUCUGCGUCUGAUUAGCUGGUAGGUGAGGUAACGGCUCACCUAGGCGACGAUCAGUAGCCGGUCUGAGAGGAUGAACGGCCACAUUGGGACUGAGACACGGCCCAGACUCCUACGGGAGGCAGCAGUGGGGAAUCUUCCGCAAUGGGCGCAAGCCUGACGGAGCAACGCCGCGUGAGUGAAGAAGGUCUUCGGAUCGUAAAGCUCUGUUGAUGGGGACGAACGUGCCUAAUGCGAAUAGUUUUAGGUAAUGACGUACCCAUGAGGAGCCACGCA
Molecule: ribosomal RNA, 495 nt
Filed under: Centipeda noxia
Lineage: Bacteria; Bacillati; Bacillota; Negativicutes; Selenomonadales; Selenomonadaceae
Description: bacterial SSU rRNA
Rfam family: Bacterial small subunit ribosomal RNA
Source: RNAcentral